RNAcentral lists this ribosomal RNA (1154 nucleotides) under uncultured fungus. RNAcentral describes it as "eukaryotic LSU rRNA". The stretch from base 525 to 1154 matches the Rfam family "Eukaryotic large subunit ribosomal RNA", at positions 1 to 649 of the family's 3401-position model. The record is from RNAcentral. Lineage: Eukaryota; Fungi.
AAGUCGUAACAAGGUUUCCGUAGGUGAACCUGCGGAAGGAUCAUUAAAGUUAUAGUCCCCUGGCCUUCUGGCUAGGGUCUUCUAUACCACCCUUUGUUUAUUACACCUUUGUUGCUUUGGCAGGCCUGCCCUCGGGCUGCUGGCUCCGGCCGGCGAGCGCCUGCCAGAGGNCCUAAACUCUGUUUGUCUAUAAUGUCUGAGUACUAUAUAAUAGUUAAAACUUUCAACAACGGAUCUCUUGGUUCUGGCAUCGAUGAAGAACGCAGCGAAAUGCGAUAAGUAAUGUGAAUUGCAGAAUUCAGUGAAUCAUCGAAUCUUUGAACGCACAUUGCGCUCCCUGGUAUUCCGGGGAGCAUGCCUGUUCGAGCGUCAUUACAACCCUCAAGCUCUGCUUGGUGUUGGGCCCCGCCGCCCCGGCGGGCCCUAAAGUCAGUGGCGGUGCCGUCCGGCUCCGAGCGUAGUAAUUUUUCUCGCUUUGGAGGCCCGGGCGCGUGCUCGCCAUCAACCCCCAAUUUUUUUCAGGUUGACCUCGGAUCAGGUAGGGAUACCCGCUGAACUUAAGCAUAUCAAUAAGCGGAGGAAAAGAAACCAACAGGGAUUACCUCAGUAACGGCGAGUGAAGCGGUAACAGCUCAAAUUUGAAAUCUGGCCUCACGGUCCGAGUUGUAAUUUGUAGAGGAUGCUUCGAGCAUGGUCUGGCCUAAGUUCCUUGGAACAGGACGUCAUAGAGGGUGAGAAUCCCGUAUGCGGUCAGGUGCCUACGCUCAUGUGAAGCUCCUUCGACGAGUCGAGUUGUUUGGGAAUGCAGCUCAAAAUGGGUGGUAAAUUUCAUCUAAAGCUAAAUAUUGGCCAGAGACCGAUAGCGCACAAGUAGAGUGAUCGAAAGAUGAAAAGCACUUUGGAAAGAGAGUUAAACAGUACGUGAAAUUGUUGAAAGGGAAGCGCUUGCAACCAGACUUGCGCGCGGCCGAUCAUCCGGUGUUCUCACCGGUGCACUCGGCCGUGCUCAGGCCAGCAUCGGUUUUGGCGGCUGGAUAAAGGCCCCAGGAAUGUGGCUCCUCUCGGGGAGUGUUAUAGCCUGGGGUGCAAUGCAGCCUGCUGGGACCGAGGACCGCGCUUCGGCUAGGAUGCUGGCGUAAUGGUUGUAAGCGGCC